AAUCUCUCCAAUUGGACUUUUGCCUGGGUUUUAAACGGCACUUUGCUUUUGAUUGUUCUAGUUUCCUGUGCUCGGGGCUCCUGAGACGCGGCCCCGCCGGGCACCGUGAAGACGGUCUUUGCCCUUGGCCCGCUCUCGGCUCCGCCGGCCACGGGCGAGGCAGGGCUGUCUGCCCUCCGGGCCCACGCCGCGCCGCGCCCGCGAUGCUUGAUGUCAAUGGGACUCGGAGCCAGUAAAGCAAGCCCAGGGCCAGCUGGGCCGGCAGGGACUUGACUCGUUGCAGAGCCGGGAGCGGGCGUGACGGGGCAGGAAAGCAGGACGGAGCGUUUCCAGCCGCGGGCGCCGAGGACGUGUCGGCAGCUGCAGCCGGCGGAGCGUGCAGACGAGGAGGGACGUCCUGCCUCGCGGCGCCGGGGGAGUCUCCGUCCCCGGGAACGGUCGGGAGCAGACCCGUGGCUGGGGGCAUGGUUUAGAUCCUGCCCUGAGCAGGGGCCUGCACUAGCUGUGGUCUCGGGAGGUCCCUUCCCAACGACCCUAUACCCUAAAUGCGUCGGUCACUGGCUUUGCUCCUCGGGAACAUAAAACUUACAGCAGAAAGGGAUUUUCCGUUCCCUAGACGCCCCGUAGCCUAGCCGGUCGAUUUUGCUUUGGUACGAGAGUGCCGACUUUGCACGGACCUCGUGGUGUCAGUACGACCCCCAGGGAGGGCGCGACUCUCCCGGGAUCCAGCCGCCUUCCUAUCCGCCCGGGCGAUGCCCCGCACCUUCCUACCGGGAGACGCGCGGCCGAGCGAUGGGGGCAGGGGACGACUGCUUUGGCACUGCCGCCCUAGUUAACUUGCAACUACCCCCGUGUGUCAACACGUCCUCUGCAUUGCGCAAGGUUUGUUUGGCUCCUGCCCCCGGACAAAACGUUGGGAAAGUAAAGAGGGAAAAACACGUUUGCCGGUUGCGAGCAGCGCGCUGGCUUCGAGACCCAAGGAUUGGGAAACUGCGUCACUGUUUCCUCCUCCCGCCCGGCGGGAUGGGUUAACGGCUGGGCCACAUUCGUUGCCAGCAGAUGAAGGGAAAUGAUGCGUCCCCUCUGUUCAGCCCUGGGGAGGCCACAUCUGGAGUGUCCAGCUGUGGGCCCCGCUGCAAACGGGUGCGGACACGUUGGAGAGAGUCCAGUGGAGGGCAACGAGCGUGGUUUGGGGCUGGGGGACGGGACCGGUGAGGAGAGGCUGAGGGACUGGGCUGAUUGAGUCUGCAGAAGAGAAGACCGAGGGGGAUUGAAUAACAAGCAGCCUUCACCUCCCUGCCGGGGGGGCUGCAAAGAGGAUGGAGCUGGGCUGUUCUCGGUGAGGGCAGACGACAGGACAAGGAGCAAUGGGCUCAGGCUGCAGCAAGGGAGGUUGAGGUUGGAUAUUAGGAAACUCUUGCUCAGGAGGAGGGUGGUGAAGCGCUGGAGCAGGCUCCCCAGAGAGGUGGGGAGUCUCCAUCCUGGGAGGUUUCCAAGAUCCUGGUAAACAGAGCCUUGGCUGGGAUGAUGUAGGUGGGGCUGGUCCUGCUUCAUUGCACUAGAUGUGACCUCCUGAGUCCCUUCCAGUGGUAGUUUCCUACGGUAUCAAUUAGAAAAGGCAGGAAACCCUUCCACAGGGUUUGGGAAUGAGGCCAAAGGAUGCUCCUGGAGAAAAUAAGAGCUUGCAUCUGGGGCUGUGAGUCCUGGGGCCGUAGUCUCCGUGGGUGUAAGCUGGCGGUAGGCUCAGUGGUAACGGGGGGGCCGGGUGCUGCAAGCCGGCGGGGGCUCCAGCGCGGUGGAUUGAGCAACACUUGGUUAUCCGUAAGCACGUGGGGGUGAGAAGCUGCAGAAAACAGCAUGAAAUACCUGCAGCCCGGAUGCAAGCAGGGAUUGAAGUGCGAGAGAAGGGGAAUCGCGCCUGGUCUGAUGUCUCACUUCUGCGCUGGCUGGUUGGGGCUCCUCGGGGCCUGGGGAAGGCAGGGCUGGGCUGAAGCACAGAUUCGUAGCUGUUCGGGCUGGAAGAUCGCGGGUCCAGCCCCUCGCACUUGGGCAGGACAGGCUGCCGGGCUCAGAUGACCCCCUGCCCUUUCCUUCUCCAGGGCCCUGCCUGGGGUGCGGGGCUUGCUCCGGCUUCGGUGGCAGCUGCAAGGGCGACGUGGAGCCCCGCUGCGGGGGGACGGACUCCUGCACGAUCCUCGUCGCCGGAGAGGUCUCGCUUCCCUGCUCUGGGGGCGUGGGGGUUCGGGACGCCUGCCCUUCCUGUGCUUCCUCCCGGGGCCCGCGACGGGCACCGCCCCGAAUGGCCGGCACGGCCCCGCCUGCCGGGCCCUUUUCGGGGGCGCUUGCCGCGAAGACGCCGUGGACUGCGCUGGACCUCAGACCCAGUGCAUCACGUUAGCCGGACCUUAAACGGUAGAUGCAGUUCCUGGGUCCUGCUGGGACGUUCCCGUCUGGUUGCUGCCCCUCAGGCGGGGAGGGUGGUGAGGACUCCUGGCUCUGAGGCCGGGGGCCACCGGCUCUCGUGUGGUCUGGGGGAGAUCUUCCCUUCGUGGUGCGCCAGCGGCCCCCCGCGCUCUCACGGCCGGAGCGCCACAGAUCUUCGCUCCCACCCAGGCAAAGGUUAUUGUGCUCGCUGAAUGGACGAGCCCCCCGGGCUGGCGCUUCCAAGGGAGUUUGGCAGCUGCGUGCCUGGCUCCCGUGACCCUCACGGGCUCUAUUUUUAGGCUUCUUUGAAAAAAAAAUUCAACCUGCAUCAGUCAUUUGAGCUGCAUGAGGAACAGAGCCAGGAGCUGAGCCCAGCUCGUCCGAGUCCCAGCCCAGCGCUUGCAUUUAGCGCCCAGCACCCUUCUGAGAUCCCACUUCUGCCACCACGGGGAGCUGCACCUUCGCCCGUGAGACUGAGCUAGGCCCGAGAGAAAGCUUCUCCGGACCCCGGCUCCAGCCCAGCACCACUGCACUGACCACAGCCCAUGGGAGGCCGAGCUGCCCCGCAGGAAGGCGCAGGCCACAGGGCUGUGGUCAGUGCAGCUUGGCCUCCCGCGGGCGCUCGCCUUCUGCACGCAGGCGCUUCCUCGACAGACUGGGAGCCGGCUGGUGGAUCGUGACGGGGAACGUUUGAGCGGGCGUCGAGAAGCCCCAGAGGAGCCCGCAGCUGGCACGAGGAUGAUGAUGGCAGCCAUGUCCUGCUUCGGUCGCCGGCGGCCCGCCCUGCAGGAGGAGACUCCAAAUCCCUGGCCCCUUUGGAAGCUGCGGGCCAAAAUGUGGGAGGGGGUUUCUGUGGGACUCCUCGUGUGCUUAAAUUAGACCCCCCGCUCGAGCCCCUCCUGGACGCGGCGUCUUGGCUAUCACCACAAGCUGUGUGCAGGCCUCGGGGCAUGGGGGAUAUUCCUGAAUUGCAAGAAAAAGCCUCGAUUUUUCCUGUACUUUCUUUCUAAACCAGUGGCUUUCAGGCGGUGGUCCACGGGUGCCUGGGGGUCCGCAGACGACGUCUAAGGGGUCCACAAGAGAUGCCUGCGGUCAGUCACAAAGGGCCCACAGAAGGACAAAGGUGGAAACCGCUGCUCUGAACCGAAGGCGCCGGCUGGGCCGUGGGGAGAGCUCAGGCUUUCCUGCCCUGGCGGGUACGGCCCCCGCCUGCCUCAACGAGCCGCGAGCGUCACCGCUCCCGAUCUCGCGCUCCCAAAUCCCGGGCGCCGGGAACACCGCGCUGCAUCCAGAGGUGGCAUUAAAAUAGAAAGGAAAAUGUG
Molecule: long non-coding RNA, 3746 nt
Organism: Alligator mississippiensis (American alligator)
Lineage: Eukaryota; Metazoa; Chordata; Crocodylia; Alligatoridae
Exons: 2
Source: RefSeq, a predicted model, not a curated record